RNAcentral lists this ribosomal RNA (253 nucleotides) under uncultured bacterium. Its description in RNAcentral is "partial 16S ribosomal RNA". It matches the Rfam family "Bacterial small subunit ribosomal RNA", at positions 524 to 776 of the family's 1533-position model. The record is from RNAcentral.
UACAUGGGGUGCAAGCGUUGCUCGGAAUUAUUGGGCGUAAAGCGCACGUAGGCGGUUUGUUAAGUCGGAUGUGAAAUCCCUCGGCUCAACUGAGGAAGUGCAUCCGAAACUGGCAAGCUUGAGUACGAAAGAGGGUCGCGGAAUUCCCGGUGUAGAGGUGAAAUUCGUAGAUAUCGGGAGGAACACCGGUGGCGAAGGCGGCGACCUGGGUCGAUACUGACGCUGAGGUGCGAAAGCGUGGGGAGCAAACAGG